UUCUCACGUGAGUCCAGCCUUUGCUAGCUGUAAACUUUCUAUUCUAAUGUUCUUUGUCUCAUUGUGAAGCCAAUGUUUGGCUGCCAGCUGGGGAAAUUCAAGGCAGACUUCUUUUUGGGUAAAAAGGGAGGCUACAACGUUGAGAGAAAAUUUGACAGCUUCUUCCUCUGCAUUUUCUUCUUAUGAGAGGUCUGCAUUUUGCAUUGUGAGAUUUUGACAAUUGGUUUUUAAAAUCUACUUUGAUCUUUAAAAUCUGCUUUGAGUUGUUGAAUGCGCAUUUUCUCUUGGAAUUUAGAUUUCUGAAGUUACAGAAAAAAGGGCUACUGUCCGCUUGGGGUCGUUGGAUUGGAGCAUUGGAAGAUGACUUAUUCUUAUCCCUGUAUCUGUCUAAGCCGAAUCUGCCAGUUCAUGCCUUCCAACACUCAUAUUGAUAUUGCAUGACAAGUUCAAAACCACAUUGAGCAAAAUGCUGAUUUCCACCAUUCUCUUUCAGAUAGAAACAGUAACAAAGCUUAGCUUCAGGUCCAGGUCCCAGGUCGAAGAAAAAUAGGCUUCAGUCCAAAAAAGAUGAACAGUCGCUGAUGACUGAGUCUUUACAGCGACAUUAAAUUAAUAUUCCAAUUCUGUUCUAUCAAUAUCAAUAGGGUAAUCUGCUGAAUUGCCCCCUGAAUUUGUACAUAACUCUCAAUUUACCACAUGACCUUUUUUUUUAGCGAAUUAAGGGCUCGAAUUAAAAUUUAUUAUCAAUGUUCCCCCCACCGUCAAAAUUCGAACAUUUCAUCCAUUAUUCCGUCCAUUUGACUCACUUUGACUCUUUUUAAGGGUUAUUUUCGUCAUUCAGAGAAUUGAACCCUUACCCAGUCAAACCUUCACACACUUCCCACAUACAUCGCGCUCCACCUCCAUUUGUUUAUGUUUCUGGCGAUUUCCAGUUAUCUAUCUAUCUAUAGAGAGAGAGAGAGAGAGAGAGAGAUGAGGACGAACUUACCCGGCAGCGUUGAUGGGUCACACAGAGGGAGUUCGGAGUUCGAAGACGGCAAUUCAUGGAUGUUGCCAUCACGAGUCUACUACUGUGGGAAGGUUGCAAAAAUUCAGACUUCUUGGACCUCUUCACAUCCAGGACGAAGAUUUUAUGUUUGUGCACGGAAUCGUUAUCAAAUGUGGGAGUGGGGUGACCUUGUUAUGUGCAAUAGAUCUAAGCAAAUAAUUCCAGGACUGCUGAGGAGAAUUAACAAGUUGGAAGCAAAAAAAAAAGAAAGGGAAUUCGAAGCUGAAAAACCCAUGGUUUUGGGUGUCGUUGUGCAUGUUUGGGGUUAUUAUAUGCUUGAUUUUGAAUGAAGAUAAAGGCAUCAAUGGGCAGCUGUAAAAAGGGAUGGGUAGUUGGCAUUUUGUAAGGGUUAGAAAGGGAUGGGUGGUUGCCAUUUUGUAAGGGUUAGAAAGGGAUGGGUAAUUGGCAUUUUGUAAUGGUUAGAAAGGGAUGGGUAAUUGACAUUUUGUAAUAGUUAGAAAGGGAUGGGUGAUUGGCUUGUUGUAAAGGUCAGAAAGGGUGUGUAAUUGGCUUCAUUUUGAGUGUUGUGACCAAUGAAAUCAAUGUAUGAGUUGUUUUGUUGAAUGAAAA
Prunus avium (sweet cherry) is the source of this 1618-nucleotide non-coding RNA. Lineage: Eukaryota; Viridiplantae; Streptophyta; Magnoliopsida; Rosales; Rosaceae. The record is from RefSeq and is a predicted model, not a curated record.